CGCGGCGCUGCCGGCCGCCGCCCUGAUUGGUUGCUAAGUGAUUUGCAUCCAAGUUGCCAGAGACAUCUGAGGGCCUCGAACAAAAGGCCAGGAGGCUGAAAGGGAGCUGGCAUUCCUGUGGGCGGAGUUAGUGCCAUUUUAGAGAUGGAGAAGUGGAGGCCUUGGGCCGGAGCCACCUGCCAAGAAGAUACAGCCCUGACCCAUAGGGGCUCAGCUGCCAGGAGGGAGAGAGACCAGUUUCCUUUCUCCAGGGACAGUGGAGCAGCAGGCCUGGUGGCGAGGGACACGCAGGUACCCUGGCAGGACUCUCCUCUCAGCACUCUGCUGCUCCCCGAGACCCUUCCAGACCUUCCUGUGGGCUGUCCACGCCUCACUAGCCACGCCUGGCGGGCAGCAUGGGCCCAGCGCUUGGGGGGAUGAAAGAUGAAGGUUCGUGACCAUUUUUUAACUCAAUAAAGGGAGAGACAAGCGGCAGGCUGCAGGCUGGAGAUAUAAUUAGUUCGCAGCAGUGGCGCUUUCUUGAUUUAGCUUCUGCGAGAACAAGACAAGGAUGUUAUACCCAAUUAGCAGUAACAUCCAGUCGGAGCCUCAAUAGGUGAGAUAACAAGCUAUUUUUAUGACUUUUCUUUCCCAGCUUGGAGGGGGCGGGGGAAGGGGGCAUGAGGGCCUUAUUUCUUUUCAUCGGGGAACAAUUAUGAGCGAUCUCAGGAUUUCCCAAAUCCAAAUGAUGCAUUUGUUAACCCAAACAAGCAAGCCUCCCAGGGCAGCAGCGGCUGGGGUGGCCAGCGGGCAUUUUGAGCCCAGGGGGUGCGGCCCCUCGUCCACUUUCUGGGAGCCCCGGGAGAAGGCUGCCCGUGCGGAGGCCAUCAGCUUGGCUGGGGAGAUUCAGCUAUUCAGAGAUUCUUAGUGCCUGCCUUGAUGGCCCUACCUGCCUUCUAAGGGACGCAGGAGGCCGGGUGGACUCUUCUAGGGGUGAGGGAGGAGCCAGUUCUAGCCCUUGGCGCCCUUCCUGGUACUGCCCUCAAUCGCUUCUGCCAACUGGGCCAGAGGUUCUGGCUCUUCCACCCGGAACCUGCCAGGGCACUCUGCCUGGUGGGCCCCUUUCAUGGUGUGCGCUGCCUUCCCACCCUCCUGCCUGUCCUGGGUCCCAGAUCUCUUCCCUGGCAGGUCCCGAGUGUGAUUAGCCGUACUCUCUCCACGCUCAUUACCCCACAGCCGGGCACCCCGCGCCGGCCAAGUCCCCGCUGGGCAGGGAAGCCCUGCCAAGCCCCACCUCACUGCCUGGCUGUACCCGACUUGGGGCGAAGGCCAAGGGAUGCCCAGAGAGGGGAGCUGGCCCGGCUGCUGCCACACCCCACCAUGCCAGGACCCCAGCCUCCCCCGCCCCUCCCCAGCAGGUUGGUCCUGAGGAAUCUUGCGCCGCCUUGUCCUGUGCCGCCUUGUUCUGUGCCGCCUCUGUCACUGCGGAGCUCAUGGUUCAGAUAACUGACAAAUCCAGCCAUGCAGAGUGGGAGUUUAAUUGCAAACAGUUUUUAUGGAUCAUGGGCCCAUCUGUGCCACCAUAUGCAAGAGGAAAAAGUGCCCCCCUCUCCCCCCCCCCCAUCUCACUCUCAGACUAACUCCAAAAAAAUAUGGCAGCCUUUUCUGAGGGCUUCCAGAAGGCAGGAUAUUUUUUUCUGGCUGGAGCCAAGCACAGAGCAAGUGCCUUCCCAGAAGUGAGACCUUCUCUGGGCCUGGGCCUGGGCCGGGCUCAGCCUUUCCCAGCCACCUGGCUGAUGCUCUUCCCCUGGCCUCUGGUGGCCUCAGCCCGGGGAGCAACACUGGGUGGAAAUGUAUGAAUGACUGGGGUUGGAGGGGGCACUUCCCCUCCCAUUUCUAGCACAGGAAAUGGAACCCCAGGAGGAUGGGGCUCCCCAAGCCUCUGACUCCCUCCUUCUCAGUGGCACCUCUUAUCCUGGUGCUCAGCCUGACUCUGCAGACGGCCCCACCCGGGAUGGAAAGGCCAUCCGCAGGGGGCCCUCGGACAGCACUUCCCCCAGGGCCUGAGGGCUGGUCUUGGCAGAACUCCCUCUGAGGCUAUGGCGUGGGUUUAACCCCCCGCAGUGCCACAUGCCAGCCGGGUGACUUCAGACUAUUUCUUUCUUUCUCUCUCUCUGCCUCAGUUUCUCUCUCCGUCAAUCAGGGGUGAGAGUUGAUGGAUUGCUGCCCUCGGGGUGCGUUUGUAUCUAUCCUCUCCCCCCCCCACCGUGAGGCUGGGGUCCUUGUGAGUGAGGGUCCUUGCUUUGUUCCCUGGGACAGCCCAGGCCCCUGAUGAGGACGCUCGAUGGCUGUGGGAACACCUGAGGGAGUGAAUGAGCCAGGGAGGGGACACGGGCCUCGGCUGGCCAGCGAUUCAGGGAUUCUCCUGCCGUUCUCUCUGGAGUCUACCAUUCUCCCCGCGAGGAAGACCAAAGCUUGGGGACAGGAAGGGACUGUCUCAAGGUCAUGCAGCUGAAGAGAAGCCAGAGCUGGGACCGGAAGCCUGGUCGAAGGGACUUCCAGCUGGCCAGGUCCUGCCCUGCACAUGACAGGUGAGGAGGGUCAGGCUCAGAGUUGGGGAGGGACUCGGCCGAGGUCACACAAUAUGAAAACAGUAGCCAGGGUUCGUGAGGGUCCUUCCUGUCCCUGUCGUACAGAUGAGGAAACGAAGACCCUGUCUCCACAGAGCCAGGCCAGACUUGCCCCGCCUCUCUCCUUUCCCUGCCCCCUCCCCUGGGCCUGGGGGCUUCACCAUGAGCCUUAUAAACUGGCAGCUUGGGAGUGCGGCAGCCAGGCCCUGGGCAGGAGUCCGUGUUCCCCACUUGGGCACUGGGUACAGCCCACCCACAGCAGGUGGCAGGAGGCAGGAAAAGUGGGGCACGGGCUCUGUCCCCUGGCCCCGGAGGAGCCCAGGCCCGUUCCCCGCCCGGUGGUGAUCACCAGCUCCUGUUGUAAUCAUUAAAACUAUUAGAAGGAAACGUUCGCUUGAAGCAAGUGUCAGGCUCCGAGUUGUGCUUUGUAAACGCUCACAAUUAAUGCCAAUCAGGCCCGGAAAAAAGCCGGCCCGGAACCCUGUCUGUUUCGUCUCAUUUGUCAGCUGGUGCGCGCCAUGUUGCACAUUUUCAUACAAUUGCUAUAAACAUAAAAGGGAAACUCCACAGUGUUCCCGGGCGCCCGGAUGGUGCGCGCAGGCUUAAUGACUCGGUGUUCCGC
Molecule: non-coding RNA, 3231 nt
Organism: Ictidomys tridecemlineatus (thirteen-lined ground squirrel)
Lineage: Eukaryota; Metazoa; Chordata; Mammalia; Rodentia; Sciuridae
Source: RefSeq, a predicted model, not a curated record